RNAcentral lists this ribosomal RNA (467 nucleotides) under uncultured bacterium. RNAcentral describes it as "partial 16S ribosomal RNA". It matches the Rfam family "Bacterial small subunit ribosomal RNA", at positions 28 to 507 of the family's 1533-position model. The record is from RNAcentral.
GAUGAACGCUGGCGGCGUGCUUAACACAUGCAAGUCGAACGGAAAGGCCCAAGCUUGCUUGGGUACUCGAGUGGCGAACGGGUGAGUAACACGUGGGUGAUCUGCCCUGCACUUCGGGAUAAGCCUGGGAAACUGGGUCUAAUACCGGAUAGGACCACAUUUUGGAUGGUGUGGUGGAAAGUUUUUCGGUGUGGGAUGAGCUCGCGGCCUAUCAGCUUGUUGGUGGGGUAAUGGCUUACCAAGGCGUCGACGGGUAGCCGGCCUGAGAGGGUGUACGGCCACAUUGGGACUGAGAUACGGCCCAGACUCCUACGGGAGGCAGCAGUGGGGAAUAUUGCACAAUGGGCGCAAGCCUGAUGCAGCGACGCCGCGUGGGGGAUGACGGCCUUCGGGUUGUAAACUCCUUUCGCUAGGGACGAAGCGUUUUUGUGACGGUACCUGGAGAAGAAGCACCGGCUAACUACGUG